Long non-coding RNA from Rhopalosiphum padi (bird cherry-oat aphid), 2751 nucleotides. RefSeq lists it as uncharacterized. Lineage: Eukaryota; Metazoa; Arthropoda; Insecta; Hemiptera; Aphididae. The transcript has 9 exons. The record is from RefSeq and is a predicted model, not a curated record.
CGUCAGCGAUAUGGUAAUCGAGACUUCGCGCGUUAUACACAUUGUCAGUUCGAUUGUUCGAUAUCGAUAUAUUUAUAUAACAUAUUCACAGUUUCACACUCGCCACGUCUAUAUUAUUAUUAAAUAUUAAAUAAUACUAUCGUCUAUUAAGUAUUAUUGUCUAGUCAGUAUUUGUCUCGUAGUCGUGUGCGACCGUGCUGCUACAUCGUACAGACUUUUAUAAUUUUGCCUUUUUUAUAGUUUAAGUAUAUCGCAGUAGUUUGCAUUUUCGCGACUGCGAGACGCAAUAGUUAGCCUUAUACCUUAACUCACUUUGUACUACGCGCGUACGGCAUACACCUCAACACUGUUUCUUUUUCUCGUUUGCAACCGUGCUGCUACAAACACUGAAGAGUACUCUGCAUUAUCCGACUGCAGUUUGCAUUUUCGACACCAAAAUUGAAGUACAUGUGUAUAUUAUGUGUUAUCACGUCAUUUCACACAAUAAUGGAUCAAAUUAACAGUCAAACAAAGAUAUAUCAUUGACACCUAAGAUUUAGAAGGCAUAGAAGUAUACCCACAAAUAUUUUUAGCAAUACACCACUGAAUAAAACCAUUUGAUUCGUAUGAAGCAGCUGCUGCGGAGGAAAUAAAAUUAUUUAUAUCAUCAGGUGGUGAGUCACAGAGUGAUUCUGACACUGAACACAAAAAAGCAGCCCUAAAUGAAGACUAUAAUUAUAGUUCCAGUAGUGAUGACAAACCUUUAAGUAUUAAAAGAAAACAAUCAACUUCUGAACCAUAUAACAAAAUAAAAAAUGCACUAAAAAUACUACAAAAAUGACUUUAAAGCAGUAUCCUGCGUUUCAAAUUCGAAUACCACAUUACUUGCUGAUCUCUCUGGAAUAUUAAUUGAUGACAAUUUUAAUAAUUUGACACCUGCAGAUGAACAAGUAACUAAAGGAACAAAUUUAAUGCAGUUAAAAAAUAUUUUUGAUUUAUUUAAUUAAAUCUAUUGGUGGCUCUGGCACAAAAUAUUUUGUGUACUUCAAAAAUUAUUUUCCAAUAAAUUGGCCACACUUUGUUCAUGGACAGGACAAAAAAAUAAUUAUCGCCUUGUCGACCAUCAAAUUAUAAAAAUUAUGAAAAAAAUUUCACAUGAACUAUAUCAAAAUGACGAAAAUAUAUUUGAAGUUUAUGUAAAAGAUUGGUUCAGGCAUGGGACUCAGCGAUUAAAAAAAGAAAAUACUACAGACCACGUCAAUAACGCAAAUCAAUUGAAAAAUAUGUCUCUUCGGAAUUUUAAACGUUUGCUGUUGAAUGUUACCACAGACAAUACUCAAGCAAAAGAGCUGGUAAGUGUAUCAUCAACUUGUUCAAAUUCUGAUAUAACUGUUAAUAAUAUUGAAACCCUCAGUUGUUAAAAUGAAAUCUCCACAUCUAAAAUGUGUAAAAAUUAUGAUCCACCUAAUGCAUUACAAAUAGAAAGUUUAGAAUUACAACUUCAUAUAUCUAAUUCAUUGGGACAAAAUGAUAAUAUUUCUUGUAACAAUAAUCCUUCUGUUAAAGAAAAACUUCAGCAAUGGGUUUUUGAUAAUACCGUUACAAAAACUAGUGUUAAUAAUUUAUUGAAGAUUUUGAGGUCUGAGGGGUUGGAUUUUCCAAAAUAUGUACGUACAUUGAUGAAUACUCUUAGAACCCAUAACAUAAUUAUUAUAAAUCCUGGAACUUAUAUUCAUUUAGAUUUUAAAAAAAUGUUAUCUAUUUUAUUAAAGUUUUAUGCUUAGUGUUUGAAAAACGUCGAUGAAAUAUGUUUAAGUUUUAAUAUUGAUGGGUUACCAUUAGCACACAGUUCUAAACAACAAUUUUGGCCAAUACUUUGUUCAAUAAUAAAUGUACCUUUUCUAUCUAAAUUAGUUUUUGCUGUUGGUUUAUAUAUUAGUACACUUAAAUAACCAGAGUCUAUAGAUGACUUUUUAAAUUUUUUUAUUAAUGAAGCUAAAGAAUUGGUAAAGGAUGGAAUUAAUGUUGAUAAUAAGGUACUAUGUUUAUGUAUUAAGCAAUUCAUUUGCGAUUCUCCCACCAAAGCGUUUUUACUUAACGUAAAACGCUAUAAUUCUCGUGUAGGGUGUAAUACAUGCACAAUAGAGGGAGAAUAUAAAGAUCAUAGAAUGUCAUUCUUGGGUGUGAAUGCCUUGUUGCGUACUGAUAGUAGUUUUAGAACUAGAAAUGAUGACGAAUAUCAUAAAGGCAAUUCUCCUUUAAAGCAUAUUUUACAAAUUGAUAUAGUAUAAGUGCGAGGUAAGCAAUCGGUGAGAAUCCCCAAAGAAAAAUGUGAUUAUGCAGAUGAAGAGUUAAACAAUUUAAAAUUUUAAAACAAUAUGUCCCACCAGAAUUUGUUAGGCUUCCGAGAUCUUUAAAUGAUAUAGAAUAUUGGAAGUUAACCAAAUUUAGAACUUUUUUGUUAUAAUCUGGGCCAAUCGUACUAAAAGGAAGACUAAGAAAAAUAUUUUAUUUACACUUCAUAAAUUGCAUUGUGCCAUAAAAAUUUUGGUAACACCAGUUUUAUGUAUAGCUAAAAAUGAAGUAACAUUUAAUUUACUAAUUGAUUUUGUGACGGAGUUUAUUACUCAUCAUGGGGCGCAUUUUAUCACUCACAAUAUUCAUAGUUUGAUUCAUUUGCCAUUUUAUAUUAAGACACGGAUGUCUAGAUAAUUUUAGCGCUUUUAAAUAUGAAAAUUACUUGAGAAUUAUAAAAAAAAUACUUGCAUUUUU